UCUCUCACCAUCCCAGCCCAAGAUGAUCUCAUCUGUCAUUCCUCACUGAUUAUCAAGCAUCAUUUAUUAUCCUUUUGUGUCCAGUUUCUUUGCAUCUCCAGGCCAUGACUUAUACAUUUUGGCCUCAAAUUCCUGCUGACCAGGAAGAUCUGCUGAGCAUCUCCGGGGUGGAGAAAGGACCAUCACACCACAACAACGGUAAUCAACUCUGGAAUGGAAAAGACUGGCGGCAUGUCCAGGAUAAAGAGGAGCCCAGGUUGUGCUGUUAGGCCUUGAACAAGUACCAGCAGGCAUGCCCAUCAAAGAAAGAUGGCAGUUUUCUCUCCUUAGGGUUCUACUUUGCCUGCUUAAGCCCAGAAGUGGGAUUCCCCACAGCAACAGAGGACCCCGCAUCACUUACCCAAGAAAAGAGGAACAGGGCGCUUUAUGAGACCUUGGAUCCGGCUCCCAAGCCUGUCCUGUGUUACACCACCAAGCUCGGGGGUGUGUGUGGGGGGAGGUGGGCGCGUGUUGUUUCUCCCGCCCCACACACUAGGUGGAGGAGUUGUAAAGGGGAUUCGAGGAGUCAGGGAACUCAGGCCCCUGUUGGCUGGACAAAGCUCAACUGCAGGACUUGUGCAUGUCUGUGUGCAAAGCCUUGGCCUUAGAGUGAAAGCCGUGGGUCCCCAGAGGACCCUAAUCUGACGGAAACAUCCGGGCAGACUGUCCCGGCCCUCAGGCAUUUUGCACCAUCAUUUAAACUCAAAUUUGCUUAAAGCAGAGAAGUGAGGGUCACAGUCACAGAGUGAGCGGAGGGGACUGGAGGAGACAUGGACAUCGGUUAUGCAGGGCCCCCCGCCCCUAGCUUAGAGCUAAAACCUCGAGACCCAGAGGAGUUGACCUGUGACAGGGAAUAAUUAAGGUCUCAGGUACCUUCUUAAACGGACAGAACAGGACUGUAUAGUUUGCCCUUUGGC
Molecule: long non-coding RNA, 956 nt
Organism: Bos taurus (domestic cattle)
Lineage: Eukaryota; Metazoa; Chordata; Mammalia; Artiodactyla; Bovidae
Source: Ensembl